AGUGGCGCACGGGUGAGUAACGCGUGGGUAAUCUGCCUCGGGAUCGGGGAUAACAUUGCGAAAGCGAUGCUAAUACCGGAUAAAAUCUGGUUGGCUACGGUGAACCGGAUCAAAGGUGGUCUCUUUAUAAAAGCUACCGUUUGGAGAUGAGCUCGCGUACCAUUAGCUAGUUGGUGAGGUAAAGGCUCACCAAGGCGACGAUGGUUAGCUGGUCUGAGAGGAUGAUCAGCCACACCGGAACUGGAACACGGUCCGGACUCCUACGGGAGGCAGCAGUGAGGAAUUUUGCGCAAUGGUGGAAACCCUGACGCAGCAACGCCGCGUGAGUGAUGAAGGCUUUCGGGUCGUAAAGCUCUGUCAGGUGGGAAGAACCCACCAAGUGUUAAGACCACUUGGUGCUAGACGGUACCACCGAAGGAAGCACCGGCUAACUCCGUGCCAGCAGCCGAGGUAAUACGGGGGGUGCGAGCGUAAUACGGAAUCAUUGGGCGUAAAAGGGCGCGCAGGCGGAAAAGUAAGACAGAAGUGAAAUCCCGGGGCAUAACCCCGGAUAGUGCAUAUGAAACUAUGAGACUUGAGUAAUGGGAGAGGGAAGCGGAAUUCAAGAUGUAACGGUGAAAAGCGUAGAUAACAGGAGGAACACCGUGGCAAAGGCGCCUCCUGGACCAAUACUGACGUCUGAGGGAUCGAAUGCUUGGGGUACCGAACAGGAUUAGAUACCCUGGUUAGUCCACGCAGUAAACGUGAUUCACUAGUUUAAGCGGGGUAUUGACCCCUGCUGUGCCGGAGUUAACGCAUUAAGUGGAUCCGCCUGGGGAGUACGAUCGCAAGAUUAAACUCCAAAGGAAUUGACGGGGGCCCGCACAAGCGGUGGAGCAUGUGGUUUAAUUCGACGCAACGCGAAGAACCUUACCUGGACUUGACAUCUCGGGAAUUCCGUUGAAAGACGGGAGUGCCUUUAACGAGGAAUCCGAUGACAGGUGCUGCAUGGCUGUCGUCAGCUCGUGUCGUGAGAUGUUGGGUUAAGUCCCGCAACGAGCGCAACCCCUAUCUUCAGUUACCAUCAAGGUUGAUGCUGGGGACUUUGGAGAUACUGCCCCGGUUAACGGGGAGGAAGGUGGGGAUGACGUCAAGUCCUCAUGGCCUUUAUGUCCAGGGCUACACACGUGCUACAAUGGUAUGUACAAAGGGAAGCGAUCCCGCGAGGAGGAGCUAAUCCCAAAAAGCAUAUCAAAGUUCGGAUCGGAGUCUGCAACUCGACUCCGUGAAGUUGGAAUCGCUAGUAUUCGCGGAUCAGCAUG
Molecule: ribosomal RNA, 1301 nt
Filed under: uncultured organism
Description: bacterial SSU rRNA
Rfam family: Bacterial small subunit ribosomal RNA
Source: RNAcentral